UUGACCUCAAAUCAGGUAGGACUACCCGCUGAACUUAAGCAUAUCAAUAAGCGGAGGAAAAGAAACUAACAAGGAUUCCCCUAGUAACUGCGAGUGAAGAGGGAAAAGCUCAAAUUUAAAAUCUGGCUUCCUUAGGUUGUCCGAGUUGUAAUCUAGAGAAGCGUCAUCCGCGUUGGACCGUGUACAAGUCUCCUGGAACGGAGCGUCAUAGAGGGUGAGAAUCCCGUCUUUGACACGGACUACCAGGGCUUUGUGAUGCGCUCUCAAAGAGUCGAGUUGUUUGGGAAUGCAGCUCAAAAUGGGUGGUAAAUUCCAUCUAAAGCUAAAUAUUGGCGAGAGACCGAUAGCGAACAAGUACCGUGAGGGAAAGAUGAAAAGAACUUUGGAAAGAGAGUUAAACAGUACGUGAAAUUGCUGAAAGGGAAACGCUUGAAGUCAGUCGCGUUGGUCGAGAAUCAGCCUUGCUUUUGCAUGGCUUAUUUCGCGGCUCAACGGGUCAGCAUCAAUUUUGAUCAUUGGAUAAAGAUGAGAGGAAUGUGGCAUCUUCGGAUGUGUUAUAGCCUCUUGUUGCAUGCAGUGGUUGGGAUUGAGGAACUCAGCA
Molecule: ribosomal RNA, 601 nt
Filed under: Phaeocollybia ammiratii
Lineage: Eukaryota; Fungi; Basidiomycota; Agaricomycetes; Agaricales; Phaeocollybiaceae
Description: eukaryotic LSU rRNA
Rfam family: Eukaryotic large subunit ribosomal RNA
Source: RNAcentral